Molecule: ribosomal RNA, 576 nt
Filed under: uncultured bacterium
Lineage: Bacteria
Description: bacterial SSU rRNA
Rfam family: Bacterial small subunit ribosomal RNA
Source: RNAcentral
GGUAAGCGUAAUUUUCGUUUUUAUACGAAAUUCUCUGACGAGAAAAACGAAAAACGCGAUGAAUAAUACCUAACCUUUGUCGAUAAGAUAAAGAUUUGAGUUCUAAGGAUAAGUUGAGCGGCGGACGGGUGAGUAACGCGUGGGUAACCUGCCCUAUACACAUGGAUAACAUACUGAAAAGUUUACUAAUACAUGAUAACGUAAUUUUUCGGCAUCGAAGAAUUAUCAAAGCGUUAGCGGUAUAGGAUGGACCCGCGUCUGAUUAGCUAGUUGGUGAGAUAACUGCCCACCAAGGCGACGAUCAGUAGCCGACCUGAGAGGGUGAUCGGCCACAUUGGAACUGAGACACGGUCCAAACUCCUACGGGAGGCAGCAGUGGGGAAUAUUGCACAAUGGGCGAAAGCCUGAUGCAGCAACGCCGCGUGAACGAUGAAGGUCUUCGGAUCGUAAAGUUCUGUUGCAGGGGAAGAUAAUGACGGUACCCUGUGAGGAAGCCCCGGCUAACUACGUGCCAGCAGCCGCGGUAAUACGUAGGGGGCUAGCGUUAUCCGGAUUUACUGGGCGUAAAGGGUGCGU